RNAcentral lists this ribosomal RNA (253 nucleotides) under uncultured bacterium. RNAcentral's name for it is "partial 16S ribosomal RNA". It matches the Rfam family "Bacterial small subunit ribosomal RNA", at positions 439 to 684 of the family's 1533-position model. The record is from RNAcentral.
GUUGCGAAGAAAAGCUGCGACCUAACACGUCGCGGCCUUGACGUAACCAACUAAAGAAGCCACGGCUAACUCUGUGCCAGCAGCCGCGGUAAUACAGAGGGUGCGAGCGUUAAUCGGAAUUACUGGGCGUAAAGCGCGCGUAGGCGGUUUGUAAGUCGGUUGUGAAAUCCCCGGGCUUAACCUGGGAACUGCAUCCGAGACUGCAUAGCUAGGAGUGCGGGAGGGGAGAGUGGAACUUCUGGUGGAGCGGUGU